AGUGAACGCUGGCGGUAGGCCUAACACAUGCAAGUCGAACGGCAGCACAGUAAGAGCUUGCUCUUACGGGUGGCGAGUGGCGGACGGGUGAGGAAUACAUCGGAAUCUACUUUUUCGUGGGGGAUAACGUAGGGAAACUUACGCUAAUACCGCAUACGACCUACGGGUGAAAGCAGGGGAUCUUCGGACCUUGCGCGAUUGAAUGAGCCGAUGUCGGAUUAGCUAGUUGGCGGGGUAAAGGCCCACCAAGGCGACGAUCCGUAGCUGGUCUGAGAGGAUGAUCAGCCACACUGGAACUGAGACACGGUCCAGACUCCUACGGGAGGCAGCAGUGGGGAAUAGUGGACAAUGGGGGCAAGCCUGAUCCAGCCAUACCGCGUGGGUGAAGAAGGCCUUCGGGUUGUAAAGCCCUUUUGUUGGGAAAGAAAAGCAGCAGGUUAAUACCACGCUGUUCUGACGGUACCCAAAGAAUAAGCACCGGCUAACUUCGUG
RNAcentral lists this ribosomal RNA (492 nucleotides) under uncultured bacterium. RNAcentral's name for it is "partial 16S ribosomal RNA". It matches the Rfam family "Bacterial small subunit ribosomal RNA", at positions 29 to 507 of the family's 1533-position model. The record is from RNAcentral.